CCAGCCCUAGCCCCAGUCCCAGUCCUAGUUCCUCAGUCCCGCCCAGCUUCUCUCGAAAGUCACUCUAAUUUUCAUUGAUUCAGUGCUCAAAAUAAGUUGUCCAUUGCUUAUCCUAUUAUACUGGGAUAUUCCGUUUACCCUUGGCAUUGCUGAUCUUCAGUACUGACUCCUUGACCAUUUUCAGUUAAUGCAUACAAUCCCAUUUGUCUGUGAUCUCAGGACAAAGAAUUUCCUUACUCGGUACGUUGAAGUUAGGGAAUGUCAAUUGAGAGCUUUCUAUCAGAGCAUUAUUGCCCACAAUUUGAGUUACUUAUCAUUUUCUCGAUCCCCUGCCCUUAAAGGAGAAACCAUUUCUCUGUCAUUGCUUCUGUAGUCACAGUCCCAAUUUUGAGUAGUGAUCUUUUCUUGUGUACUGUGUUGGCCACCUAAAACUCUUUGCAUUGAGUAAAAUUCUAAUUGCCAAUAAUCCUACCCAUUGGAUUAGACAGCACUCUGAACCCCAUUUGCAUUCAGCAGGGGGUCGCAGACAACCCGUCUUUUGUUGGACAGUUAAAAUGCUCAGUCCCAAUUGUCAUAGCUUUGCCUAUUAAACAAAGGCACCCUACUGCGCUUUUUGCUGUGCUUCUGGAGAAUCCUGCUGUUCUUGGACAAUUAAAGAACAAAGUAGUAAUUGCUAAUUGUCUCACCCAUUAAUCAUGAAGACUACCAGUCGCCCUUGCAUUUGCCUUGAGGCAGCGCUGACUACCUGAGAUUUAAGAGUUUCUUAAAUUAUUGAGUAAAAUCCCAAUUAUCCAUAGUUCUGUUAGUUACACUAUGGCCUUUGCAAACAUCUUUGCAUAACAGCAGUGGGACUGACUCAUUCUUAGAGCCCCUUCCCUUGGAAUAUUAAUGGAUACAAUAGUAAUUAUUCAUGGUUCUGCGUAACAGAGAAGACCCACUUAUGUGUAUGCCUUUAUCAUUGCUCCUAGAUAGUGUGAACUACCUACCACCUUGCAUUAAUAUGUAAAACACUAAUUGCCCAUAGUCCCACUCAUUAGUCUAGGAUGUCCUCUUUGCCAUUGCUGCUGAGUUCUGACUACCCAAGUUUCCUUCUCUUAAACAGUUGAUAUGCAUAAUUGCAUAUAUUCAUGGUUCUGUGCAAUAAAAAUGGAUUCUCACCCCAUCCCACCUUCUGUGGGAUGUUGCUAACGAGUGCAGAUUAUUCAAUAACAGCUCUUGAACAGUUAAUUUGCACAGUUGCAAUUGUCCAGAGUCCUGUCCAUUAGAAAGGGACUCUGUAUCCUAUUUGCACGCUACAAUGUGGGCUGAUCACCCAAGGACUCUUCUUGUGCAUUGAUGUUCAUAAUUGUAUUUGUCCACGAUCUUGUGCACUAACCCUUCCACUCCCUUUGUAUUCCAGCAGGGGACCCUUACUACUCAAGACCUCUGUACUAGGACAGUUUAUGUGCACAAUCCUAAUUGAUUAGAACUGAGUCUUUUAUAUCAAGGUCCCUGCAUCAUCUUUGCUUUACAUCAAGAGGGUGCUGGUUACCUAAUGCCCCUCCUCCAGAAAUUAUUGAUGUGCAAAAUGCAAUUUCCCUAUCUGCUGUUAGUCUGGGGUCUCAUCCCCUCAUAUUCCUUUUGUCUUACAGCAGGGGGUACUUGGGACUGUUAAUGCGCAUAAUUGCAAUUAUGGUCUUUUCCAUUAAAUUAAGAUCCCAACUGCUCACACCCUCUUAGCAUUACAGUAGAGGGUGCUAAUCACAAGGACAUUUCUUUUGUACUGUUAAUGUGCUACUUGCAUUUGUCCCUCUUCCUGUGCACUAAAGACCCCACUCACUUCCCUAGUGUUCAGCAGUGGAUGACCUCUAGUCAAGACCUUUGCACUAGGAUAGUUAAUGUGAACCAUGGCAACUGAUCACAACAAUGUCUUUCAGAUCAGAUCCAUUUUAUCCUCCUUGUUUUACAGCAAGGGAUAUUAAUUACCUAUGUUACCUUUCCCUGGGACUAUGAAUGUGCAAAAUUCCAAUGUUCAUGGUCUCUCCCUUUAAACCUAUAUUCUACCCCUUUUACAUUAUAGAAAGGGAUGCUGGAAACCCAGAGUCCUUCUCUUGGGACUCUUAAUGUGUAUUUCUAAUUAUCCAUGACUCUUAAUGUGCAUAUUUUCAAUUGCCUAAUUGAUUUCAAUUGUCUAAGACAUUUCAAAUGUCUAAUUGAUUAGAACUGAGUCUUUUAUAUCAAGCUAAUAUCUAGCUUUUAUAUCAAGCUAAUAUCUUGACUUCUCAGCAUCAUAGAAGGGGGUACUGAUUUCCUAAAGUCUUUCUUGAAUUUCUAUUAUGCAAAAUUGCCCUGAGGCCGGGUGUGGUGGCUCACACCUGUAAUCCCAGCACUUUGGGAGGCUGAGGUGGGAAGAUCCCUUACUGCCAGGAGUUUGAGACCAGCCUGGCCAACAUUAAAAAAAAAAAAAAGUAAGACAAUUGCCCUGGAAUCCCAUCCCCCUCACACCUCCUUGGCAAAGCAGCAGGAGUGCUAACUAGCUAGUGCUUCUUCUCUUAUACUGCUUAAAUGCGCAUAAUUAGCAGUAGUUGAUGUGCCCCUAUGUUAGAGUAGAAUCCCGCUUCCUUGCUCCAUUUGCAUUACUGCAGGAGCUUCUAACUAGCCUGAAUUCACUCUCUUGGACUGUUAAUGUGCAUACUUAUAUUUGCUGCUGUACUUUUUUACCAUGUAAGGACCCCACCCACUGUAUUUACAUCCCAGCUGGAAGUACCUACUACUUAAGACCCUUAGACUAGUAAAGUUAGCGUGCAUAAUCUUAGGUGUUAUAUACACAUUUUCAGUUGCAUACAGUUGUGCCUUUUAUCAGGACUCCUGUACUUAUCAAAGCAGAGAGUGCUAAUCAAUAUUAAGCCCUUCUCUUCGAACUGUAGAUGGCAUGUAAUUGCAGUUGUCAAUGGUCCUUCAAUUAGACUUGGGUUUCUGACCUAUCACACCCUCUUUGCUUUAUUGCAUGGGGUACUAUUCACUUAAGGCCCCUUUCUCAAACUGUUAAUGUGCCUAAUGACAAUUACAUCAGUAUCCUUCCUUUUGAAGGACAGCAUGGUUGGUGACACCUAAGGCCCCAUUUCUUGGCCUCCCAAUAUGUGUGAUUGUAUUUGUCGAGGUUGCUAUGCACUAGAGAAGGAAAGUGCUCCCCUCAUCCCCACUUUUCCCUUCCAGCAGGAAGUGCCCACCCCAUAAGACCCUUUUAUUUGGAGAGUCUAGGUGCACAAUUGUAAGUGACCACAAGCAUGCAUCUUGGACAUUUAUGUGCGUAAUCGCACACUGCUCAUUCCAUGUGAAUAAGGUCCUACUCUCCGACCCCUUUUGCAAUACAGAAGGGUUGCUGAUAACGCAGUCCCCUUUUCUUGGCAUGUUGUGUGUGAUUAUAAUCGUCUGGGAUCCUAUGCACUAGAAAAGGAGGGUCCUCUCCACAUACCUCAGUCUCACCUUUCCCUUCCAGCAGGGAGUGCCCACUCCAUAAGACUCUCACAUUUGGACAGUCAAGGUGCGUAAUUGUUAAGUGAACACAACCAUGCACCUUAGACAUGGAUUUGCAUAACUACACACAGCUCAACCUAUCUGAAUAAAAUCCUACUCUCAGACCCCUUUUGCAGUACAGCAGGGGUGCUGAUCACCAAGGCCCUUUUUCCUGGCCUGGUAUGCGUGUGAUUAUGUUUGUCCCGGUUCCUGUGUAUUAGACAUGGAAGCCUCCCCUGCCACACUCCACCCCCAAUCUUCCUUUCCCUUCCGGCAGGGAGUGCCCUCUCCAUAAGACGCUUACGUUUGGACAAUCAAGGUGCACAGUUGUAAGUGACCACAGGCAUACACCUUGGACAUUAAUGUGCAUAACCACUUUGCCCAUUCCAUCUGAAUAAGGUCCUACUCUCAGACCCCUUUUGCAGUACAGCAGGGGUGCUGAUCACCAAGGCCCCUUUUCUUGGCCUGUUAUGUGCGUGAUUAUAUUUGUCUGGGUUCCUGUGUAUUAGACAAGGAAGCCUUCCCCCCGCCCCCACCCCCACUCCCAGUCUUCCUUUCCCUUCCAGCAGGGAGUGCCCCCUCCAUAAGAUCAUUACAUUUGGACAAUCAAGGUGCACAAUUAUAAGUGACCACAGCCAUGCACCUUGGACAUUAUUGGACAUUAAUGUGCGUAACUGCACAUGGCCCAUCCCAUCUGAAUAAGGUCCUACUCUCAGAUGCCCUUUGCAGUACAGCAGGGGUACUGAAUCACCAAGGCCCUUUUUCUUGGCCUGUUAUGUGUGUGAUUAUAUUUAUCCCAGUUUCUGUGUAAUAGACAUGAAAGCCUCCCCUGCCACACCCCACCUCCAAUCUUCCUUUCCCUUCCACCAGGGAGUGUCCACUCCAUAUACCCUUACAUUUGGACAAUCAAGGUGCACAAUUGUAAGUGAGCAUAGGCACUCACCUUGGACAUGAAUGUGCAUAACUGCACAUGGCCCAUCCCAUCUGAAUAAGGUCCUACUCUCAGACCCUUUUUGCAGUACAGCAGGGGUGCUGAUCACCAAGGCCCCUUUUCCUGGCCUGUUAUGUGUGUGAUUAUAUUUGUUCCAGUUCCUGUGUAAUAGACAUGGAAGCCUCCCCUGCCACACUCCACCCCCAAUCUUCCUUUCCCUUCUGGCAGGAAGUACCCGCUCCAUAAGACCCUUACAUUUGGACAGUCAAGGUGCACAAUUGUAUGUGACCACAACCAUGCACCUUGGACAUAAAUGUGUGUAACUGCACAUGGCCCAUCCCAUCUGAAUAAGGUCCUACUCUCAGACCCCUUUUGCAGUACAGUAGGUGUGCUGAUAACCAAGGCCCCUCUUCCUGGCCUGUUAACGUAUGUGAUUAUAUUUGUCUGGGUUCCAGUGUAUAAGACAUGGAAGCCUCCCCUGCCCCACCCCACCCUCAAUCUUCCUUUCCCUUCUGGCAGGGAGUGCCAGCUCCAUAAGAACCUUACAUUUGGACAGUCAAGGUGCACAAUUCUAAGUGACCGCAGCCAUGCACCUUGGUCAAUAAUGUGUGUAACUGCACACGGCCUAUCUCAUCUGAAUAAGGCCUUACUCUCAGACCCCUUUUGCAGUACAGCAGGGGUGCUGAUAACCAAGGCCCAUUUUCCUGGCCUGUUAUGUGUGUGAUUAUAUUUGUCCAGGUUUCUGUGUACUAGACAAGGAAGCCUCCUCUGCCCCAUCCCAUCUACGCAUAAUCUUUCUUUUCCUCCCAGCAGGGAGUGCUCACUCCAUAAGACCCUUACAUUUGGACAAUCAAGGUGCACAAUUGUAAGUGACCACAACCAUGCAUCUUGGAAAUUUAUGUGCAUAACUGCACAUGGCUUAUCCUAUUUGAAUAAAGUCCUACUCUCAGACCCCCUUUGCAGUAUAGCUGGGGUGCUGAUCACUGAGGCCUCUUUGCUUGGCUUGUCUAUAUUCUUGUGUACUAGAUAAGGGCACCUUCUCAUGGACUCCCUUUGCUUUUCAACAAGGAGUACCCACUACUUUUUAAGAUUCUUAUAUUUGUCCAAAGUACAUGGUUUUAAUUGACCACAACAAUGUCCCUUGGACAUUAAUGUAUGUAAUCACCACAUGGUUCAUCCUAAUUAAACAAAGUUCUACCUUCUCACCCUCCAUUUGCAGUAUACCAGGGUUGCUGACCCCCUAAGUCCCCUUUUCUUGGCUUGUUGACAUGCAUAAUUGCAUUUAUGUUGGUUCUUGUGCCCUAGACAAGGAUGCCCCACCUCUUUUCAAUAGUGGGUGCCCACUCCUUAUGAUCUUUACAUUUGAACAGUUAAUGUGAAUAAUUGCAGUUGUCCACAACCCUAUCACUUCUAGGACCAUUAUACCUCUUUUGCAUUACUGUGGGGUAUACUGUUUCCCUCCAAGGCCCCUUCUGGUGGACUAUCAACAUAUAAUUGAAAUUUUCUUUUGUCUUUGUCAGUAGAUUAAGGUCAUACCCCAUCACCUUUCCUUUGUAGUACAACAGGGUGUCCUGAUCAACCAAAGUCCUGUUGUUUUGGACUGUUAAUAUGUGCAAUUACAUUUGCUCCUGAUCUGUGCACUAGAUAAGGAUCCUACCUACUUUCUUAGUGUUUUUAGCAGGUAGUGCCCACUACUCAAGACUGUCACUUGGAAUGUUCAUGUGCACAAACUCAAUUCUCUAAGCAUGUUCCUGUACCACCUUUGCUUUAGAGCAGGGGGAUGAUAUUCACUAAGUGCCCCUUCUUUUGGACUUAAUAUGCAUUAAUGCAAUUGUCCACCUCUUCUUUUAGACUAAGAGUUGAUCUCCACAUAUUCCCCUUGCAUCAGGGGCAUGUUAAUUAUGAAUGAACCCUUUUCUUUUAAUAUUAAUGUCAUAAUUGUAUUUGUGGACCUGUGUAGGAGAAAAAGACCCUAUGUUCCUCCCAUUACCCUUUGGAUUGCUGCUGAGAAGUGUUAACUACUCAUAAUCUCAGCUCUUGGACAAUUAAUAGCAUUAAUAACAAUUAUCAAGGGCACUGAUCAUUAGAUAAGACUCCUGCUUCCUCGUUGCUUACAUCGGGGGUACUGACCCACUAAGGCCCCUUGUACUGUUAAUGUGAAUAUUUGCAAUUAUAUAUGUCUCCUUCUGGUAGAGUGGGAUAUUAUGCCCUAGUAUCCCCUUUGCAUUACUGCAGGGGCUGCUGACUACUCAAAACUUCUCCUGGGACUGUUAAUAGGCACAAUGGCAGUUAUCAAUGGUUUUCUCCCUCCCUGACCUUGUUAAGCAAGCGCCCCACCCCACCCUUAGUUUCCCAUGGCAUAAUAAAGUAUAAGCAUUGGAGUAUUCCAUGCACUUGUCUAUCAAACAGUGGUCCAUACUCCCAACCCUUUUGCAUUGCGCCAGUGUGUAAAAUCACAGGUAGCCAUGGUGUCAUGCUUUAUAUACGAAGUCUUCCCUCUCUCUGCCCCUUGUGUGCCCUUGGCCCCUUUUUACAGACUAUUGCUCACAAUCUCAGGUGUCCAUAUUUGCAGCUAUUAGGUAAGAUUGUGCUGUCUCCCUCUUCCCUUCCCUCUGCCCUGCCCCUUUUGCCUCUUUGCUGGGUAAUGUUGACCAGACAAGGCCCUUUCUCUUGGACUUAAACAAUUCUCAGUUGCACUUUCCUUGGUCCCACCCAUUAUACAUGAACCCCUCUACUUCCUUUCGCAUUGCUUCUGAGUAUGCUGACUACCCAAAGCCCCUUCUGUGUUAUUAAUAAACACAGUACUGAUUGUCCCAUUUUUCAGCCCAUCAGUCCAAGAUCUCCCUACCACUUUGGUGUGUUGGUGCAGUGUUGACUAUGAAAAGCAGGCCUGAACUAGGUGGAUAAGCCUUCACUCAUUUUCUUUCAUUUAUUAAUGAUCCUAGUUUCAAUUAUUGUCAGAUUCUGGGGACAAGAACCAUUCUUGCCCACCUGUGUUACUGCUUUACUGUGCAAAAUACUGAAGGCAAGUCAGACCCAGGGAGCUGGAUUGCCAUCCUUUAUUUUGUGUUUCCAGUGUACACUAUAAAAUUGUCUCCCCAGGAAGGAAGGUUGGCACUUUCUCUGCAUUCUUCUUUCCAGAGCAGAUUGCCUGGUUAAGAAUCUCUUGUUGUCCCCUUUGUAUAUUGUUAUUGUAAAGUGCCAAAUGCCAGGAUACAGCCAGAAAAAUUGCUUAUUAUUAUUAAAAAAAUUUUUUUAAGAAAGACAUCUGGAUUGUAGGGUGGACUCGAUAACCUGGUCAUUAUUUUUUUGAAGCCAAAAUAUCCAUUUAUACUAUGUACCUGGUGACCAGUGUCUCUCAUUUUAACUGAGGGUGGUGGGUCUGUGGAUAGAACACUGACUCUUGCUAUUUUAAUAUCAAAGAUAUUCUAGAGUGGAACUCUUAAGACCAGUAUCUUUGUGUGGGCUUUACCAGCAUUCACUUUUAGAAAAACUACCUAAAUUUUAUAAUCCUUUAAUUUCUUCAUCUGGAGCACCUGCCCCUACUUAUUUCAAGAAGAUUGCAGUAAAACGAUUAAAUGAGGGAACAUAUGCAGAGGUGCUUUUAAAAAGCAUAUGCCACCUUUUUUAUUAAUUAUUAUAUAAAAUGAAGCAUUUAAUUAUAGUAAUAAUUUGAAGUAGUUUGAAGUACCACACUGAGGUGAGGACUUAAAAAUGAUAAGACGAGUUCCCUAUUUUAUAAGAAAAAUAAGCCAAAAUUAAAUAUUCUUUUGGAUAUAAAUUUCAACAGUGAGAUAGCUGCCUAGUGGAAAUGAAUAAUAUCCCAGCCACUAGUGUACAGGGUGUUUUGUGGCACAGGAUUAUGUAAUAUGGAACUGCUCAAGCAAAUAACUAGUCAUCACAACAGCAGUUCUUUGUAAUAACUGAAAAAGAAUAUUGUUUCUCGGAGAAGGAUGUCAAAAGAUCGGCCCAGCUCAGGGAGCAGUUUGCCCUACUAGCUCCUCGGACAGCUGUAAAGAAGAGUCUCUGGCUCUUUAGAAUACUGAUCCCAUUGAAGAUACCACGCUGCAUGUGUCCUUAGUAGUCAUGUCUCCUUAGGCUCCUCUUGGACAUUCUGAGCAUGUGAGACCUGAGGACUGCAAACAGCUAUAAGAGGCUCCAAAUUAAUCAUAUCUUUCCCUUUGAGAAUCUGGCCAAGCUCCAGCUAAUCUACUUGGAUGGGUUGCCAGCUAUCUGGAGAAAAAGAUCUUCCUCAGAAGAAUAGGCUUGUUGUUUUACAGUGUUAGUGAUCCAUUCCCUUUGACGAUCCCUAGGUGGAGAUGGGGCAUGAGGAUCCUCCAGGGGAAAAGCUCACUACCACUGGGCAACAACCCUAGGUCAGGAGGUUCUGUCAAGAUACUUUCCUGGUCCCAGAUAGGAAGAUAAAGUCUCAAAAACAACCACCACACGUCAAGCUCUUCAUUGUUCCUAUCUGCCAAAUCAUUAUACUUCCUACAAGCAGUGCAGAGAGCUGAGUCUUCAGCAGGUCCAAGAAAUUUGAACACACUGAAGGAAGUCAGCCUUCCCACCUGAAGAUCAACAUGCCUGGCACUCUAGCACUUGAGGAUAGCUGAAUGAAUGUGUAUUUCUUUGUCUCUUUCUUUCUUGUCUUUGCUCUUUGUUCUCUAUCUAAAGUGUGUCUUACCCAUUUCCAUGUUUCUCUUGCUAAUUUCUUUCGUGUGUGCCUUUGCCUCAUUUUCUCUUUUUGUUCACAAGAGUGGUCUGUGUCUUGUCUUAGACAUAUCUCUCAUUUUUCAUUUUGUUGCUAUUUCUCUUUGCUCUCCUAGAUGUGGCUCUUCUUUCACGCUUUAUUUCAUGUCUCCUUUUUGGGUCACAUGCUGUGUGCUUUUUGUCCUUUUCUUGUUCUGUCUACCUCUCCUUUCUCUGCCUACCUCUCUUUUCUCUUUGUGAACUGUGAUUAUUUGUUACCCCUUCCCCUUCUCGUUCGUUUUAAAUUUCACCUUUUUUCUGAGUCUGGCCUCCUUUCUGCUGUUUCUACUUUUUAUCUCACAUUUCUCAUUUCUGCAUUUCCUUUCUGCCUCUCUUGGGCUAUUCUCUCUCUCCUCCCCUGCGUGCCUCAGCAUCUCUUGCUGUUUGUGAUUUUCUAUUUCAGUAUUAAUCUCUGUUGGCUUGUAUUUGUUCUCUGCUUCUUCCCUUUCUACUCACCUUUGAGUAUUUCAGCCUCUUCAUGAAUCUAUCUCCCUCUCUUUGAUUUCAUGUAAUCUCUCCUUAAAUAUUUCUUUGCAUAUGUGGGCAAGUGUACGUGUGUGUGUGUCAUGUGUGGCAGAGGGGCUUCCUAACCCCUGCCUGAUAGGUGCAGAACGUCGGCUAUCAGAGCAAGCAUUGUGGAGCGGUUCCUUAUGCCAGGCUGCCAUGUGAGAUGAUCCAAGACCAAAACAAGGCCCUAGACUGCAGUAAAACCCAGAACUCAAGUAGGGCAGAAGGUGGAAGGCUCAUAUGGAUAGAAGGCCCAAAGUAUAAGACAGAUGGUUUGAGACUUGAGACCCGAGGACUAAGAUGGAAAGCCCAUGUUCCAAGAUAGAUAGAAGCCUCAGGCCUGAAACCAACAAAAGCCUCAAGAGCCAAGAAAACAGAGGGUGGCCUGAAUUGGACCGAAGGCCUGAGUUGGAUGGAAGUCUCAAGGCUUGAGUUAGAAGUCUUAAGACCUGGGACAGGACACAUGGAAGGCCUAAGAACUGAGACUUGUGACACAAGGCCAACGACCUAAGAUUAGCCCAGGGUUGUAGCUGGAAGACCUACAACCCAAGGAUGGAAGGCCCCUGUCACAAAGCCUACCUAGAUGGAUAGAGGACCCAAGCGAAAAAGUUUCUGGCAUCACUACCACUACUGAUUAAACAAGAAUAAGAGAACAUUUUAUCAUCAUCUGCUUUAUUCACAUAAAUGAAGUUGUGAUGAAUAAAUCUGCUUUUAUGCAGACACAAGGAAUUAAGUGGCUUCGUCAUUGUCCUUCUACCUCAAAGAUAAUUUAUUCCAAAAGCUAAGAUAAAUGGAAGACUCUUGAACUUGUGAACUGAUGUGAAAUGCAGAAUCUCUUUUGAGUCUUUGCUGUUUGGAAGAUUGAAAAAUAUUGUUCAGCAUGGGUGACCACCAGAAAGUAAUCUUAAGCCAUCUAGAUGUCACAAUUGAAACAAACUGGGGAGUUGGUUGCUAUUGUAAAAUAAAAUAUACUGUUUUGAAAACUUUGUAUUUUGAUGUGACAAUUUCUAACUCACUGUCCCUAA
RNAcentral lists this long non-coding RNA (10707 nucleotides) under Homo sapiens (human). RNAcentral's name for it is "non-protein coding XIST:43". The stretch from base 8676 to 8801 matches the Rfam family "X-chromosome inactivation gene exon 4". Lineage: Eukaryota; Metazoa; Chordata; Mammalia; Primates; Hominidae. The record is from RNAcentral.